CUCCAAGCCACAUCUGCGGAAGUGUGUCGUGUUAAAUUAGUUCCACCGUACAACCAGACUAUAAAAUAAUAAUCGGGCUUGUAGGUGUUGAGUGAAUAAAUAGAAUAUUAUGGAUCGUUUAUACUUUCUUUCUCUUGAAGAUCUGCAACCCACAAACCGGUAAUUUGAUCGGAUUCGAAUUGAAGCUGGAUAUAGGCCACCAGUCGACGCAGCUGUCAAAAAAUGGCUAAGCGAAAUCUAGAUAAUAAUUCCGGUCGAGAGCAAUUGUGCCAACACUGGCUCCUAACACGCAAUUACGGUCUGACAGAUGAAAUAAACUAAUCCAACCAAGGCCUAGGUCCUAUUGUAGCACCAAAAGUACGAAGUUUAGUACCUUUUUAAGUCCAUCAUUUUUCAGUACUUUUUUAGUUAAACAGUUAUGUUUCAGUACUUUUCAACAACAACCGAAAGGAAAUCAAUAUUUAGCAAUAACAAGUUUUGUAAACGACAAAAUUAUCGAAAAGUUGAACUGGUAACGUUACGCCAUCUGUCGUCACUUCGUGAAAUAUGUCGAAAUUUCCGUGAAACCGCAAAAGCAAAGUAGCGGCUUAACCGACUAAUUGGAUAUAAAUUGAACCGAACCACUGCGGAAGCUGGUAAUUCGAAAAAAAAGCGUUACGUCAUUCGCAAUAGACAGAAAGGGUGUUUCGACAUCUAGGGGCAGACAGAUUCACUUUAGAACAUAGUAUUGUAGCUAGUGGAGUUUCAUAGGCACCCGGCUAAAACAAAACCGUUUAUCUCUAAAAGUAACCAAGAAAACAGCCUGCCUUUGUGAAAGAGCUUGAUAUAGCCUAGGUAUCUUAGAAUUUUGAUAUUCAGUUUGGUGGUCUAGCAAAAGGAAACACAACCUAUUUGCAUUUAAUAGAAAGCAGUAUGUCUACAGCCUUGUGUAAGCCAGCAUGCAGUUUAAAACUAGGGGCAUAGAUACAAGCGAUCAGAGAAAGUAGAUUGGUGUUUAUUGGGUAGAACAUGGAAAAACUACUAUUGUAUAAUGUUCAUGCCAACUCUACAUACCUCCUCAAUCGGUAAACCAUAACCUGGUUGAACAUCUGCAUUAUUUGCUCGGACUCCAAGCCUAUAAAAGGCAAAUCUUCACAAGAAAUUAUUUCUGG
This is a long non-coding RNA of Hermetia illucens (black soldier fly), 1151 nucleotides long. RefSeq lists it as uncharacterized. The record is from RefSeq and is a predicted model, not a curated record. The transcript is spliced from 3 exons. NCBI's taxonomy places the organism in Eukaryota, Metazoa, Arthropoda, Insecta, Diptera, Stratiomyidae.